This 446-nucleotide ribosomal RNA is filed under the name uncultured soil bacterium. RNAcentral describes it as "bacterial SSU rRNA". It matches the Rfam family "Bacterial small subunit ribosomal RNA", at positions 26 to 462 of the family's 1533-position model. The record is from RNAcentral.
AGAUUGAACGCUGGCGGCAUGCCUUACACAUGCAAGUCGAACGCGAAAGCGGAGCAAUCCGCAAGUAGAGUGGCGAACGGGUGAGUAAUACAUCGGAACAUUUCCAGUAGCGGGGGAUAACCUGUCGAAAGAUAGGCUAAUACCGCAUACGACCUACGGGUGAAAGCGGAGGACUCUUGGGCAACCGAGGGCUUCGCACUAUUGGAGUGGCCGAUGUCGGAUUAGCUAGUUGGCGGGUAAAGCCACCAAGGCUACGAUCCGUAGCUGGUCUGAGAGGACGAUCAGCCACACUGGAACUGAGACAACGGUCCAGACUCCUACGGGAGCAGCAGUGGGGAAUUUGGACAAUGGGGCGCAAGCCUGACUCAGCCAUGGCCCGCGUAGACGUGAAGAAGGUCCUUACGGUUGUAAACGUCGUUCGUUUCGGUGGGAACGUAAAGGUUCGU